AUACGGAGGAUCCGAGCGUUAUCCGGAUUUAUUGGGUUUAAAGGGUGCGUAGGUGGUUUGAUAAGUCAGCGGUGAAAGUUUGCAGCUUAACUGUAAAAAUGCCGUUGAAACUGUCGGACUUGAGUGUAAAUGAGGUAGGCGGAAUGCGUGGUGUAGCGGUGAAAUGCAUAGAUAUCACGCAGAACUCCGAUUGCGAAGACAGCUUACUAAGCUACAACUGACACUGAAGCACGAAAGCGUGGGGAUCAAACAGGAUUAGAUACCCUGGUAGUCCACGCAGUAAACGAUGAUUACUAGCUGUUUGCGAUACACAGUAAGCGGCACAGCGAAAGCGUUAAGUAAUCCACCUGGGGAGUACGCCGGCAACGGUGAAACUCAAAUGAAUUGACGGGG
Molecule: ribosomal RNA, 393 nt
Filed under: uncultured bacterium
Lineage: Bacteria
Description: partial 16S ribosomal RNA
Rfam family: Bacterial small subunit ribosomal RNA
Source: RNAcentral